RNAcentral lists this ribosomal RNA (450 nucleotides) under uncultured bacterium. Its description in RNAcentral is "bacterial SSU rRNA". It matches the Rfam family "Bacterial small subunit ribosomal RNA", at positions 354 to 796 of the family's 1533-position model. The record is from RNAcentral.
GUGGGGAAUUUUGGACAAUGGGCGCAAGCCUGAUCCAGCAAUGCCGCGUGCAGGAAGAAGGCCUUCGGGUUGUAAACUGCUUUUGUACGGAACGAAACGGUCCGGGUUAAUACCCUGGGCUAAUGACGGUACCGUAAGAAUAAGCACCGGCUAACUACGUGCCAGCAGCCGCGGUAAUACGUAGGGUGCAAGCGUUAAUCGGAAUUACUGGGCGUAAAGCGUGCGCAGGCGGUUUUGUAAGACAGGCGUGAAAUCCCCGGGCUCAACCUGGGAAUUGCGCUUGUGACUGGAAGGCUGGAGUGCGGCAGAGGGGGAUGGAAUUCCGCGUGUAGCAGUGAAAUGCGUAGAUAUGCGGAGGAACACCGAUGGCGAAGGCAAUCCCCUGGGCCUGCACUGACGCUCAUGCACGAAAGCGUGGGGAGCAAACAGGAUUAGAAACCCCAGUAGUCC